Girardinichthys multiradiatus is the source of this 1964-nucleotide long non-coding RNA. RefSeq lists it as uncharacterized. The record is from RefSeq and is a predicted model, not a curated record. The transcript is spliced from 2 exons. Lineage: Eukaryota; Metazoa; Chordata; Actinopteri; Cyprinodontiformes; Goodeidae.
UUGGUGUGUGUGUGUAAACAACCAGUCACAAUGCAAAUCAGAAGGGUAGAUAAAACAUUAUUUUAUUAAGAAUAUUUUAAAGAAUGAUUUGCUGAAUUAGAAUUCAAUCUUUUAGACAAUAGAUCUCAAUGUUGUUAACUAGCCAUCACAUGUAAUAAUGAACCACCAAAAUAAUGAGAGAACAUAUGGACUUACACAAGAUGGCAACAAACUGGACCUUCUUGGCACUAGCAUUAGUUUGUAGUGGUGUUAGAUAACAAAGGAAAUUAACCUAUUUUGGAACCCUGUUAAUGUCACAUGUGCUUGAAAAACAAUUAAUACAAAUAUUAAUGUCUAUAUGAGCCCCAGCGAUGCAUUAUGGCCGAUUUUGUUUAAACCACUAGUUGAAAUAAAUGUUGUCGUAACUUUAAAACCCAACUCAGAACAAAUAACUAGCCUCAAGGGUUAGAGGCCUGUUCACACUCAAAUGGUUUAGCUUUAAGCACCACAAACAAAGCAAAACAUUAUGAAAUAACAAUAUUUAGGUUGUUUUAUUCUAAACUAAUUUUCUCUGCCCAGACACUACCUCUUAUGUGAACUGUUCUGAUGAACAGAAGUGAAAAAGGUCCAAAGGGCUCCUUGCACUGUAUGCUUUAGGUGUGAAGAGCUGCAGUUUCCAUACAAUUUUCUUCAGGCAGUGAGAAAACUGCCUUAUCCUCUCUUCCAGGGGAAUCUCUGGCUUGGAUUCCUUUUCUGGAGAAGCUCAGAAGAAAAGCAUCAGACCGUAGUCAACUUUGGAUCCAAGGAUUUUUUGAAAUGGAGUCUUGCUUGCCAGCGAGUUUCAAAGACAUUGAGGUGGUGCUACUUCCCCAAUGCGAUCAUCCGUGCUGCUGCGGGUAAAAGUCAAAGAGGUGUGGCUGGGAGAAGUUUUUCGUUAGUUGCUCCAUGACAUCACGUGGACUCCAGCUGUGACUCUUCCUUCCUGGGCUGUACUAAAAGUAGGUUAAUGCGGUGAAUUUAGGGAUACAGAGUUUUCCCCAGUCUCUGUGUUUGUGUACAAUUCAGUCCACGUUUCAUCCCAUGGCUGGGGCACAACACUGUAUUUUGGAUUUUUAUUUGAUCAUAUUUCCUAUUAGAUAAUCCAGCUCUGCAUGCUAAGAGCUGAUCAGGGUGAACUACAAGGAUGAUGUACUCCUUCUCUGCAGAUGAUUUGCCAACAAUUUUAAUUGUCACAGAAGGUUAUCUUACUGGGAAAACAACGGCUGAGAUUAGAGGACAAAUGGAAAUAAGGGAAUUCUGUGGUAGUGACAUGUGAAUAAUUAAAUUUAGAGAUAGAUUUAGGAGCACAAUACAAAAUCAACAAAUGUUAGUUCCUUCUGGAACCAUUUUGGCAGAAUCUAAAAAACCCAGAGAGUUUGGGUUUCACAGACUGGCCGACAAUCAGGUCCAAAUUAAAAAGACACUUAUAUCUGCCAAAGAAAAGACUUCCAUCAAAUCUCAUACACAGCGGAUUGCGAGGCCUAUGCAGAAUGCGUACCUCCUUUUUAUGACCAUGAGAAGUCUUUAUUAACACAGGAAAUAAAUCAGAAGUUAAAAGCAUGAGGAAAAGCUGACAGCUGUGCUGCUGAGUCUGACUGUGGACACUGCUGUUAAGAUGUGAGAAACUUGUACAGUCAAACCAUAAGAGUGCUCUGUUCUCCUGAUAAUACAGUUUAUGACAUGACAGAAAAAAGAUGGGCAAUCUUGAAAUGUUUGCCAUGCAUACCAGGACAAACAAUGUUGUGGAUCUGCUAAAAAUUGUUUGCUGUUUAGAGAAACAAAUUUAUAUUGAAGACCCAUUAUCAUCAAUCCAAAGAGAAACUUAGAUGUUCAGCAGGCUGUUGGUUCUAAUCAUGUUGGCUGUUGCAUGCCGACCUAUCUGUACAGGUCAUUGACAAUUUUACAAUUGUCUCAAAAUGUAUUUCACUGUUUUGCCCAUUCCUCAG